UCGGCUGGGGAUGGGCCCGCGGCCUAUCAGCUUGUUGGUGGGGUGAUGGCCUACCAAGGCGACGACGGGUAGCCGGCCUGAGAGGGCGUCCGGCCACACUGGGACUGAGACACGGCCCAG
This 120-nucleotide ribosomal RNA is filed under the name uncultured bacterium. Its description in RNAcentral is "partial 16S ribosomal RNA". It matches the Rfam family "Bacterial small subunit ribosomal RNA", at positions 215 to 334 of the family's 1533-position model. The record is from RNAcentral.